Long non-coding RNA from Oncorhynchus tshawytscha (Chinook salmon), 3921 nucleotides. Lineage: Eukaryota; Metazoa; Chordata; Actinopteri; Salmoniformes; Salmonidae. The record is from Ensembl.
AGGUACAUGGCAGUAGGUACAAGUAGGUACAUGGCAGUAGGUACAAGUAGGUACAUGGCAGUAGGUACAAGUAGGUACAUGGCAGUAGGUAGAAGUAGGUACAUGGCAGUAGGUACAAGUAGGUACAUGGCAGUAGGUACAAGUAGGUACAUGGCAGUAGGUACAUGGCAGUAUGUCGUUGAAGGUACAUAGUAGUAGGUAGAAGUAGAUACCUGGCAGUAGGUACAAGUAGGUACCUGGCAGUAGGUACAAGUAGGUACCUGGCAGUAGGUAAAAGUAGGUACCUGGCAGUAGGUAAAAGUAGGUACCUGGCAGUAGGUAAAAGUAGGUACCUGGCAGUAGGUAAAAGUAGGUACCUGGCAGUAGGUAAAAGUAGGUACCUGGCAGUAGGUACCUGGCAUAUAUGUAUUGAUUUAGAAUGGACCAUAUCCAUAUCUUGUCUCAGAACGGGCAGGAGAAAAAAAUAGAUGCAUUUGAAUAGAGAAUGGAGGAUGCGUUUCCCCUGGUUCAUUCUCAUGCCAGCCAGGUAGGCUAUACUCCUGUUGUAAAGAGAAGCAAUGUGCUUAAUAUCAGGAACGUUCUUAAAUAAAUAUAGUAGGCUUAGCCUAUAGAAAGCUGAUGGGUUCCUCCUAUUUUUAAUAGAGGUCAUCACUCUGUAUUCUUACAUAAUGACAUACCCUAUAGAAACGUUGCUCCACUUGAGCUCAUGGGCUCUCAUGAAGUGUUUGAUUUGAUUUUACAUUGAUGUCAGAGUGAUUAGAGGCACAAUAAAAUGCUGAGUACCAGGUAGUUAGCAAGUUUAGUUGGUUAACAAUCACCAGCAGCAGAGCUUGGAGAUGCCUAAUUACCGUGACGUGGAAUUUGACUGCCGGUAAUGGUAACCGUAACAGCCCUAACGAGGCCCCACCUGGCAGAGAGACGCUAUGCUAAGAUGCCCUGACUACUGUAGGCUUUUGGUCCAGCUAUAUAACAGUCCUGAUUCAACUGAUUGAGAUCUAUGAUUAUAGUCAUUUAGCAGACACUUUCAUCCAGAGAAAUUGAGGCUGAAGUUCCUUGCUCUGGAAUUCGAACCAGCUGGACCAAAAGCACACAGUGCCUUUUGGACCUAAGUAGCUCCUCCUGCCCAAAACAUUUCUGCCCUCCUUCCACUCUACUAUCUAUCCCACAAUCCUUUGCUCUUGAUUCUCUGUCAACCAAUUAAGUCCUCUGCUACACUCUUUCUGAAAGACAAUUCCUCAAAUUGUUUAGAUUAAUGAUUUAUUUUAUUCAUCAUGAAAUAAUGUAAAGUUGUAUCAUUUUUGACUGAAUAUUUAAUGUUCUAGCUGGUGUUAUAGGUGAUAUAAUGUGUUAGUGCUGGAGAGAUUGAAUAUGUCCGUAAACAGCCAGCUGGUCUGCGCAGGCUCUGAGGACGUGGCUGGGGAUGCCGUCUGGGCACUAACACAUUAUAUCACCUAUAACACCAGCUAGAGGGAGGAAAAUGGUUUAAUUGUUUUUCUCUCAUUAAUCUACACACAAUACCCCAUAAUGACAAAGCAAAAACAGAUUUUUUUGAAAUGUAUAAAAAAAAUGUAAAAAAAUAUCACAUUUACAUAAGUAUUCAGACCCUUUACUCAGUACUUUGUUGAAGCACCUUUGGCAGGUUUUCAUCAAGGAUCUCUCUGUACUUUGCAUCGCAUCGUUCAUCUUUCCCUUGAUCUUUUCCCUCCCAGUCCCUGCCGCUGAAAAACAUCCCCACAGCAUGAUGCUGCUCAGUUUGGCCGGGCGGACAGAUCUAGGAAGAGUCUUUGUGGUUCCAAACUUCUUUGAUUUAAUGAUGGAGGCCACUGUGUUCUUGGGGACCUUCAAUACUGCAGACAUUUUUUGGUACCCUUCCCCCAGAUCUGUACCUCAUCACAAUCCUCUCUGAGCUCUACGGACAAUUUCUUUGACCUCAUGGCUUGGUUUUUGCUCUGACAUGCACUGUCGACUGUGGGACCUUAUAUAGCCAGGUGUGUUUCUUUCCAAAUCAUGUCCAAUCAAUUGAAUUUACCACAGGUGGACUCCAGUCAAGUUAUAGAAACAUCUCAAGGAUGAUUAAUGGAAACAGGAUGCACCUGAGUUCAAUUUCGAGUCUCAUAGCAAAGGGUCUGAAUACUUAUGUAAAUAAGGUUUUUAACUUUGUGAUUAUGGGCUAUUGUGAUGUCAUUAUGGGGUAUUGUGUGUAGAUUAAUGAGGGAAAUGUUUUAUUUAAUCCAUUUUUAGAAUAAGGCUGUAACGUUACAAAAUGUGGAAAAAGUCAAGAGGUCUGAAUACUUUGUAUCAUACAGUGAAAAAUAAUUGUCAAAUAAAAAGGUUCAGCCCAGGUUCACAUACUGCACAAAGGUACGGCUGAGAUCCCACCUAGGUCCCCGGCCAAGAGAUGGGCCAGAUACAGGCUGCCCUACAGACCUUACAUGGGGCCAUGGCUGAGAUCCCACCUAGGUCCCCGGCCAAGAGGUGGGCCAGAUACAGGCUGCCCUACAGACCUUACAUGGGGCCAUGGCUGAGUUCCCACCUAGAUCCCCGGCCAAGAGGUGGGCCAGAUACAGGCUGCCCUACAGACCUUACAUGGGGCCAUGGCUGAGAUCCCACCUAGGUCCCCGGCCAAGAGGUGGGCCAGAUACAGGCUGCCCUACAGACCUUACAUGGGGCCAUGGCUGAGAUCCCACCUAGGUCCCCGGCCAAGAGGUGGGCCAGAUACAGGCUGCCCUACAGACCUUAAAUGGGACCACAAUUAACCAGCUAUACAAAAAUCUAAACGCAACGCGCAAGAAUUUCAAAGAUUUUACUGAGUUACAGUUCAUAUGAGGAAAUCAGUCAAUUUAAAUAAAUUCAUUAGGCCCUAAUCUAUGGAUUUCACAUGAGUGGGAAUACAGAUAUGCAUCUGUUGGUCAGAUACCUUUUAAAAAAGGUAGGGGCGUGGAUCAGAAAACCAGUCAGUAUCUGGUGUCAACAACAUUUACCUCGUAGAGUUGAUCAGGCUGUUGAUUGUGGAAUGUUGUCCCACUCCUCUUCAUUGGCUGUGCAAAGUUGCUGGAUAUUGGGGGGAACUGGAACACGCUGUCGUACAUGUCGAUCCAGAGCAUCCCAAACAUGCUCAAUGGUUGACAUGUCUGGUGAGUAUGUAGGCCAUGGAAGAACUGGGACAGAUCCUUGCGACAUGGAGCUGUGCAUUAUCAUGCUGAAACAUGAGGUGAUGGUGGCGGAUGAAUGGCACUGUUACGUUCCCCAGAUUAUGUGUUGUAGAUUGUGUAUUUGCAUGUGUUUAUUUCAGGAAAUGGCUUCCUGAAAUCCCUCAAGCAGCUGAUUGGUUGACUCCAGGGCUAAUUGGAGAGCUGACCCCGCCCCCUCGUCAAGACACAGCUGUCUCCAAUUACCCAUUCCUUCUGAAGCUAUAUAAAAGCCAGUGUUCUGUUCAGGAGGGAGAUCUUUUUGGAGGUAGAGAUUUUGCUGGAGGUAGGGAUUGCUGAGAUUGAUUGUGAUAGAGGUUGAUUUUGAUAGAGGUUGAUUUUGCUGGAAAGUGGUAUGUUCUGUGAGUUUGUUGCUCAGAUAGAGCUUAUUUGACAUCCUUUUGUUUCUUAGUUUGUUUGAAAUUGUUUAAUAUUCUGUUUCAUUUGUUCCCAGGGGGGAAGGGGAAGGCACCUAGGGAGUGCUUAGGCAAGAGGCCCGCGGGCAUACAUAUACCCAUAGCAUAUUCACUGUCUAGACACACUAGGUAAGACCUGGGCGGACCACCCCUUGUAUUUUGGUUAGGGCACCAGGUGGUGCUAAAUUAUGUAAGUAGUGGGUAGGCAGGUAAGAUAGGAGAGGGGGGGGGCUUUGAGAUUUACUUUCUUUGCUUUGGUUCCGUCCAGCCCCUUUUCCCCAUAUUACCGUGUAAAGGAAUAAAGUCCUUGGAAACGG